CCUCAUAAGUCUUUACGGAGAAAGCUUUAUGCGCCAAUGGAUGAGCCCGCACUAGAUUAGUUUGUUGGUGGGGUAAUGGCUUACCAAGACAGUGAUCUAUAGCUGAUCUGAGAGGAUGAUCAGCCACAUUGGAACUGAGACACGGUCCAAACUCCUACGGGAGGCAGCAGUAGGGAAUAUUGCACAAUGGAGGAAACUCUGAUGCAGCGAUGCCGCGUGAGUGAAGAAGGCCUUUGGGUUGUAAAGCUCUUUCGUCGGGGAAGAAAAUGACUGUACCCGAAUAAGAAGGUCCGGCUAACUUCGUGCCAGCAGCCGCGGUAAUACGAAGGGACCUAGCGUAGUUCGGAAUUACUGGGCUUAAAGAGUUCGUAGGUGGUUAAAAUAGUUGGUGGUGAAAUCCCAGAGCUUAACUCUGGAACUGCCAUCAAAACUUUUUAGCUAGAGUAUGAUAGAGGAAAGCAGAAUUUCUAGUGUAGAGGUGAAAUUCGUAGAUAUUAGAAAGAAUACCAAUUGCGAAGGCAGCUUUCUGGAUCAUUACUGACACUGAGGAACGAAAGCAUGGGUAGCGAAGAGGAUUAGAUACCCUCGUAGUCCAUGCCGUAAACGAUGUGUGUUAGACGUUGGAAAUUUAUUUUCAGUGUCGCAGCGAAAGCAUUAAACACACCGCCUGGGGAGUACGACC
RNAcentral lists this ribosomal RNA (682 nucleotides) under uncultured Pelagibacteraceae bacterium. RNAcentral describes it as "bacterial SSU rRNA". It matches the Rfam family "Bacterial small subunit ribosomal RNA", at positions 169 to 887 of the family's 1533-position model. Lineage: Bacteria; Pseudomonadati; Pseudomonadota; Alphaproteobacteria; Candidatus Pelagibacterales; Candidatus Pelagibacteraceae. The record is from RNAcentral.